GAGGAGCUACUGUUCUGUGUCCAUAGCAACAAAAUAAACAAACUUUGGCCUGCCAUCUCCCAAGGGCAAACCUCACAACUCAGGCCCAAGUCACAGGAAUCUGAAUGGUGGGGUGACCUUCUCCUCUAGUUUAAUUUCAUUGCAAUACUGAGAAACUUCAAGUGUUUUGUCUUUAGAAGGGAAAUCCAUGUUUGUGCCAGGCCAGCCUUUGUAAAAGCCUUUGACUGGAUUCACUAGAAGUCUGUCUUCCCGCAGUACAUAUACUGUGAAUUUUCUGCUUCGGCAUUUCAACCACUUGGAAUGGCCACUAAAGUCUUGAGUUCUGGAACCUCUGGAUUUGAUCUAAAGUAAACUCUGAUUCUGUGUCGAUGGGGAACCAUUUCUCUCUAACAUGGUGGUUUCUUUAAGAUGUUUGACUUGGGCCACAUGAGAAUAACAGAUCUUUGGGCAGUCCAAGCAAGAGCCUCCUGAUCUAGCAGCCAAGACUCCCCCUGACCUUUGGCCAUGUACCCCAACCCUCUCAUCUAUUGCACCUGCUGGGACCCCUGGAACUUGGGACCACGGAAGCUAAUCAAGACCCCUCAACUACCACGCAAGAACUCCACAGGGAGUUCCAAGCUAACUCCUCUUCUACCAGCUCCAAAAAAUCACAAUUACCUCCAACCAACAAAACCUGUUGUUUCCCCAAAAAUGAAAAUCCAUUCAGCAAGGCAAGAAGAGACCAAUAAAUCAUUUUAUGAAGUGAUCAACGUGUCACCUGGCUAUCAACUUGUUCGGAAUCGGGAACAGAUUUCUGUCACCUUAGGGGAUGAGAUGUUUGAUAGGAAAAAGCGGUGGGAAUCGGAGAUCCCGGACAAAGGCAGAUUUUCCAGGACCAACAUCAUUUCUGACCUAGAAGAGCAAAUCUCAGAGCUGACAGCAAUAAUUGAACAAAUAAACAGAGACCACCAGUCUGCCCAGAAAUUGCUCUCCAGUGAAAUGGAUCUCCGCUGUGCUGAGAUGAAACAGAACUUUGAAAACAAGAACAGGGAGCUCAAAGAGGCCCAUGAAGCAGAACUCAGUGAGUUGGAGAACAACUACAAAGCAGCCUUGAAGGCAGAGAAGUUGGCUGCCCAAGAGAAGCUAGAGGAGAUGGGAAAAGAAUACAAGUAUUUGAAGAAUAUGUUUCGUACGUAUCAGGACAGUAUUUAUGAUGAAAUGGAAGAGAAGUGGUCAAAACAGAAGGCGAAAUGGAAGAAGGAUGAGAAGUUCGAGCGAGAAAAUAUCCUGCUACAGCAAAAAAAAAAGAUGACCAAAAAAUUCGAAUUGGAGUCAGGAGAAGAAGAUAAGAAAAUAAGUGAAUCCUGCAGUGCUGUCUUUGAGAACUUCAUUCAAGAGAAGGAGGAGCUCUUGAAACAACAUCAAAGUGACACCUUGCAAUUAGAAGAGCUGAGAAAAACCAAAGAGGUCAUGGAGGAAGAAUUGCAUGCACAAGCCCUUAUCCUAGAGUCACUGAACACAAACCUCUACUAUACCCAGUUGGAACUCCAGAAAGAGAAAGCUAUAGUGGGAAAUCUGGAGAAAAUGCUUCAAACCAAGUUUGCUGAAGCUGAAGAAAAGUAUAAGCACACCAUACAGAUCCUGACGGAAGAGAACAUUCAUCUGAAGUGCGGCUGCUGCUGAAAAAGACAUAGCUGAGUUCUCUUUAGGAGUGGGAAGGAGUUUGAAUGAGGAAUGGGUUAGGAAGAUAGACCAACUGCUCCCUAGUUAUGUCAAGGCACAGGUGUUUUCGGGAGGGAGGCAAAAGAUAAUUUCUAAGAAUGAAGAAAUUUGUGAAGGAUGUUCUGGGAGAUUGGUCUCUAUUACUGUUUCUAAGGAUGAUUCUGACACUGUGCAAGAUGGUAGCAAGAAAGGACAAGAAUCAUAAACAAAAAGUUGCUCUGCAUUGUUGAAGAUGGUUGGCACACCAUUUCUGUAGGCCCAGGAAACUCCUGGGAGGGUUUUCUUGAGAAAAUGCAUAUAAUGAGUUUAGUUCUUGGGUUGCUCUGACUCUCUGAAUGGCUGAAAAUGUUUGAAUUCUCAUCUGAAUUUCGCAGCUUAUCACGGACUCUUCAUUGAAAAAUGAUGCUCUCCACACUGGGAGCUGAGCUUUCUCUGA
This is an RNA transcript of Pan troglodytes (chimpanzee), 2137 nucleotides long. It is a transcript of the gene named flagellum associated containing coiled-coil domains 1, with no coding region annotated. NCBI's taxonomy places the organism in Eukaryota, Metazoa, Chordata, Mammalia, Primates, Hominidae. The record is from RefSeq and is marked provisional. The transcript is spliced from 15 exons.